UACAGAGGGUGCAAGCGUUGUUCGGAAUUAUUGGGCGUAAAGCGCUUGUAGGCGGUCUGUUAAGUCGCGUGUGAAUCCCAGGCUUAACCUGGGAAGUGCGCGCGAAACUGGCAGACUUGAAUGCCGGAGAGGGUCGCGGAAUUCCCGGUGUGAGAGGUGAAAUUCGUAGAUAUUGGGAAGAACACCGGUGGCGAAGGCGGCGACCUGGUCCGAUACUGACGCUGAGCGCGAA
This 232-nucleotide ribosomal RNA is filed under the name uncultured bacterium. Its description in RNAcentral is "partial 16S ribosomal RNA". It matches the Rfam family "Bacterial small subunit ribosomal RNA", at positions 524 to 757 of the family's 1533-position model. The record is from RNAcentral.